RNAcentral lists this ribosomal RNA (379 nucleotides) under uncultured Bacteroidota bacterium. RNAcentral's name for it is "bacterial SSU rRNA". It matches the Rfam family "Bacterial small subunit ribosomal RNA", at positions 36 to 414 of the family's 1533-position model. The record is from RNAcentral. Lineage: Bacteria; Pseudomonadati; Bacteroidota. RNAcentral also lists the same sequence under 1 other name.
CUAGCUACAGGCUUAACACAUGCAAGUCGAGGGGUAGCAGGGUAGCAAUACCGCUGACGACCGGCGCACGGGUGAGUAACACGUAUCCAACCUUCCCAUAACUCGGGGAUAGCCUUUCGAAAGAAAGAUUAAUACCCGAUAGUACUUUUUCAAGGCAUCUUGAGAAAGUUAAAGAUUUAUUGGUUAUGGAUGGGGAUGCGUUCCAUUAGAUAGUUGGUGAGGUAACGGCUCACCAAGUCUUCGAUGGAUAGGGGUUCUGAGAGGAAGGUCCCCCACAUUGGUACUGAGACACGGACCAAACUCCUACGGGAGGCAGCAGUGAGGAAUAUUGGUCAAUGGGCGAGAGCCUGAACCAGCCAAGUAGCGUGAAGGAUGACGG